RNAcentral lists this transfer RNA (73 nucleotides) under Bos taurus (domestic cattle). It matches the Rfam family "tRNA". Rfam says of the family: Transfer RNA (tRNA) molecules are approximately 80 nucleotides in length. Their secondary structure includes four short double-helical elements and three loops (D, anti-codon, and T loops). Lineage: Eukaryota; Metazoa; Chordata; Mammalia; Artiodactyla; Bovidae. The record is from Rfam by way of RNAcentral. RNAcentral also lists the same sequence under 5 other names.
UCCCAGGUGGUCCAGUGGUUAGGACUCUGGACUUUCACUGUAGAGGGCCCAAGUUCUAUCCCUGGUAAGGGAA